RNAcentral lists this ribosomal RNA (468 nucleotides) under uncultured bacterium. RNAcentral describes it as "partial 16S ribosomal RNA". It matches the Rfam family "Bacterial small subunit ribosomal RNA", at positions 27 to 506 of the family's 1533-position model. The record is from RNAcentral.
GGACGAACGCUGGCGGCGUGCUUAACACAUGCAAGUCGAACGGAAAGGCCCUGCUUUUGUGGGGUGCUCGAGUGGCGAACGGGUGAGUAACACGUGAGUAACCUGCCCUUGACUUUGGGAUAACUUCAGGAAACUGGGGCUAAUACCGGAUAGGAGCUCCUGCUGCAUGGUGGGGGUUGGAAAGUUUCGGCGGUUGGGGAUGGACUCGCGGCUUAUCAGCUUGUUGGUGGGGUAGUGGCUUACCAAGGCUUUGACGGGUAGCCGGCCUGAGAGGGUGACCGGCCACAUUGGGACUGAGAUACGGCCCAGACUCCUACGGGAGGCAGCAGUGGGGAAUAUUGCACAAUGGGCGGAAGCCUGAUGCAGCAACGCCGCGUGCGGGAUGACGGCCUUCGGGUUGUAAACCGCUUUCGCCUGUGACGAAGCGUGAGUGACGGUAAUGGGUAAAGAAGCACCGGCUAACUACGU